Molecule: long non-coding RNA, 312 nt
Organism: Oenanthe melanoleuca
Lineage: Eukaryota; Metazoa; Chordata; Aves; Passeriformes; Muscicapidae
Exons: 3
Source: RefSeq, a predicted model, not a curated record
UCAGUACUAAAUGGUUUCUGAAAGCCCAAGAGGCUAUCCUGUAUGGUACCAACAGCAACGUCCCAUUUGCCAAGGAUAAAAUAAUGACAGCUCCUUGGAUAUGGCGAGAUAUUUGUAAACACACUGCAAAAAACCCACCUACACUUCCAGAAUGUGGCUACAGAAACCUGCUUAUUUGAAAAUAACUGCAAAUAUUUUCAAAAACUGGCACAUCUGAUCAGAUUUGAGAGCACAGUGAAAUUGCUGAAGCCAACCCCUCAUUUCACCAUCUCGUUUGUGACAAAUAAAUUUGAGGAGCCGGAAUUCCUCUGU